GACGAACGCUGGCGGCGUGCUUAACACAUGCAAGUCGAACGGAAAGGCCCUGCUUUUGUGGGGUGCUCGAGUGGCGAACGGGUGAGUAACACGUGAGUAACCUGCCCUUGACUUUGGGAUAACUUCAGGAAACUGGGGCUAAUACCGGAUAGGAGCUCCUGCUGCAUGGUGGGGGUUGGAAAGUUUCUGCGGUUGGGGAUGGACUCGCGGCUUAUCGGCUUGUUGGUGGGGUAGUGGCUUACCAAGGCUUUGACGGGUAGCCGGCCUGAGAGGGUGACCGGCCACAUUGGGACUGAGAUACGGCCCAGACUCCUACGGGAGGCAGCAGUGGGGAAUAUUGCACAAUGGGCGGAAGCCUGAUGCAGCAACGCCGCGUGCGGGAUGACGGCCUUCGGGUUGUAAACCGCUUUCGCCUGUGACGAAGCGUGAGUGACGGUAAUGGGUAAAGAAGCACCGGCUAACUACGUG
RNAcentral lists this ribosomal RNA (468 nucleotides) under uncultured bacterium. Its description in RNAcentral is "partial 16S ribosomal RNA". It matches the Rfam family "Bacterial small subunit ribosomal RNA", at positions 28 to 507 of the family's 1533-position model. The record is from RNAcentral.